GCUCCCGGUCCCUACGUGUGACCCCUGACCCUCGCCCCGGAAGUCGAGGUGGCUCGGAAGUUCCGGCUCGGUCGCUAGGAAACGGGUCAACCGACGUGCGGGGCGGGGCUUCUCGUCCGGCCGGCGGGCUAGGGGAGGCAGGUGAGGCAGGAAAACUAGCAGUGACAGGGGGGUCCCCAGAGCUGCACCGGGGAGGUGGCAGACAUCCCUCCCCGAAGCCAAGCCCGGAGCCCGGAGAGCCAUUGCCGGUAUGUGAGUCAAGCCUCCGAGCACCCCUACUCAGAUGCCGGCUUGUGAGACCCUCUGUGCAGCACCAAGGAUGGUCUGAGAAGACCCUUCCCUCUGAGCGUGGCUCCCAGGGGACCUCUGCGGUGGGCUUGGGAAUGGUAGACUGAGGAUUCAGAGCUCAGCGGUCCGUUCCAGACCCUGGGCGGGGACUGGGGUGCAGUGUGUGACGGAGCACGGCUUUAGGGCACGUGGAAAUGGGCUGAGGCCCAUGGGGACUGGACAGAGCUGGGUUACAAUUCAUGUUGGGCAUUCUCAA
Molecule: long non-coding RNA, 544 nt
Organism: Suricata suricatta (meerkat)
Lineage: Eukaryota; Metazoa; Chordata; Mammalia; Carnivora; Herpestidae
Exons: 2
Source: RefSeq, a predicted model, not a curated record